CGAGCACGCGCGUGUGGCAUAUCAAUAAGCGGAGGAAAAGAAACUAACAAGGAUUCCCUUAGUAACGGCGAGUGAAGCGGGAAGAGCUCAAAUUUGAAAUCUUCAAGGUUCUACCUUGACGAAUUGUAGUUUAUAGAAGUGUUUUCUGUUAGUAGAGUGGCAAAAGUUCUUUGGAAUAGGACAUCAUAGAGGGUGAGAAUCCCGUAUUUGGUCAUUCUUUCUAGCUUUGUGAUACACUUUCAACGAGUCGGAUUGUUUGGGAAUGCAGUCCAAAAUGGGUGUAAAUUUCAUCUAAAGCUAAAUAUUGGCGAGAGACCGAUAGCGAACAAGUACCGUGAGGGAAAGAUGAAAAGAACUUUGAAAAGAGAGUUAAACAGUACGUGAAAUUGUCAAAAGGGAAGCGUUUGACACCAGUGUUGUUUUUCCGAAAAUCAAUUACGAAUGUUUUGUUUUUGGGAAGUUAUGACUUCAUCGGCUUGCUUCUUUCUUUACGAAACUUUCUUAAUGCACUUUUCGGUUAACAAGUCAACAUCAAUUUCUUUUGUUGUAAAAGGGUACGAGGAAGGUGGCUUUCUUUUCGGAGAAAGUGUUUAUAGCCUUGUGCCUCUGCAAUCGGAGAGAUUGAGGUCUGCAGCGUAGACUCUUCGGGGUUAGAUACAUUUGUGCUAAGUUAUAGCUUUUCAUAGACAACUUGUUGACUAUGUUUAGUCUUGUAGCUUACUCGCUUAUGCUAUUUUACCUACGCUUAGGAUGUUGAACUCUAUCACACACAG
Molecule: ribosomal RNA, 773 nt
Filed under: uncultured Neocallimastigales
Lineage: Eukaryota; Fungi; Neocallimastigomycota; Neocallimastigomycetes; Neocallimastigales
Description: partial large subunit ribosomal RNA
Rfam family: Eukaryotic large subunit ribosomal RNA
Source: RNAcentral